UCGGGUGAGUAAUGUAUCGGAACGUACCUUUCAGUGGGGGAUAACGUAGCGAAAGUUACGCUAAUACCGCAUAUUCUGUGAGCAGGAAAGCAGGGGAUCGCAAGACCUUGCGCUGAUUGAGCGGCCGAUAUCAGAUUAGCUAGUUGGUGAGGUAAAGGCUCACCAAGGCGACGAUCUGUAGCGGGUCUGAGAGGAUGAUCCGCCACACUGGAACUGAGACACGGUCCAGACUCCUACGGGAGGCAGCAGUGGGGAAUUUUGGACAAUGGGCGCAAGCCUGAUCCAGCCAUGCCGCGUGAGUGAAGAAGGCCUUCGGGUUGUAAAGCUCUUUCAGCCGGGAAGAAAACGCAUGGGUUAAUACCCUGUGUGGAUGACGGUACCGGAAUAAGAAGCACCGGCUAACUACGUGCCAGCAGCCGCGGUAAUACGUAGGGUGCGAGCGUUAAUCGGAAUUACUGGGCGUAAAGCGUGCGCAGGCGGUUUGUUAAGAUAGGCGUGAAAUCCCCGGGCUCAACCUGGGAACUGCGUUUAUGACUGGCAGGCUAGAGUAUGGCAGAGGGGGGUGGAAUUCCACGUGUAGCAGUGAAAUGCGUAGAGAUGUGGAGGAACACCGAUGGCGAAGGCAGCCCCCUGGGCCAAUACUGACGCUCAUGCACGAAAGCGUGGGUAGCAAACAGGAUUAGAUACCCUGGUAGUCCACGCCCUAAACGAUGUCAACUAGGUGUUGGGUGGGUAAAACCAUUUAGUACCGGAGCUAACGCGUGAAGUUGACCGCCUGGGGAGUACGGCCGCAAGGUUAAAACUCAAAGGAAUUGACGGGGACCCGCACAAGCGGUGGAUGAUGUGGAUUAAUUCGAUGCAACGCGAAAAACCUUACCUACCCUUGACAUGUCCAGAAGCCCUUAGAGAUUUGGGUGUGCCCGAAAGGGAACUGGAACACAGGUGCUGCAUGGCUGUCGUCAGCUCGUGUCGUGAGAUGUUGGGUUAAGUCCCGCAACGAGCGCAACCCUUGUCGUUAAUUGCCAUCAUUCAGUUGGGCACUUUAACGAGACUGCCGGUGACAAACCGAAGGAAGGUGGGGAUGACGUCAAGUCCUCAUGGCCCUUAUGGGUAGGGCUUCACACGUCAUACAAUGGUCGGUACAAAGGGUUGCCAACCCGCGAGGGGGAGCUAAUCCCAGAAAGCCGAUCGUAGUCCGGAUCGUAGGCUGCAACUCGCCUGCGUGAAGUCGGAAUCGCUAGUAAUCGUGGAUCAGCAUGUCACGGUGAAUACGUUCCCGGGUCUUGUACACACCGCCCGUCACACCAUGGGAGCGGGUUCCGCCAGAAGUAGGUAGCCUAACCGCAAGGAGGGCGCUUACCACGGCGGGGUUCGUGACUGGGGUGAAGUCGAAACAAGGUA
This 1401-nucleotide ribosomal RNA is filed under the name metagenome. Its description in RNAcentral is "bacterial SSU rRNA". It matches the Rfam family "Bacterial small subunit ribosomal RNA". The record is from RNAcentral.